This 1574-nucleotide ribosomal RNA is filed under the name uncultured labyrinthulid. RNAcentral describes it as "partial 18S ribosomal RNA". It matches the Rfam family "Eukaryotic small subunit ribosomal RNA", at positions 118 to 1601 of the family's 1831-position model. Lineage: Eukaryota; Bigyra. The record is from RNAcentral.
CGUUUGAUGAGCCUCACUACAGGGAUAACCGUAGUAAUUCUAGAGCUAAUACCUGCGAAACAUGUUGAGCGGUGCCUUCGGGUUCUCGCAAGACAUGCGUUUAUUAGAUCGUAAACCAAAGGGUUGGAGUGGUAACACACGAAAACCUUGAAGGUGAUUCAUAAUAAGGAAGCAAAUCGCACAGAAUCCAGGCGCAAGCCUGGAGGCGAUGAGUCAUUCAAGUUUCUGCCCUAUCAGCUGCGAUGGUACUGUAUUGGACUACCAUGGCUUUGACGGGUAACGGAGAAUUAGGGUUCGAUUCCGGAGAGGGAGCCUGAGAAACGGCUACCACAUCCAAGGAAGGCAGCAGGCGCGUAAAUUACCCAAUCCCAACUCGGGGAGGUAGUGACAAGAAAUACUUUUGAGGGGCCCCUUUGUUGGGUCUUGCAGCGGAAUGAGCACAAUCUAAAUCCCUUAGCGAGGAUCCAUUGGAGGGCAAGUCUGGUGCCAGCAGCCGCGGUAAUUCCAGCUCCAAUAGCGUAUAUUAAAGUUGUUGCAGUUAAAAAGCUCAUAGUUGGACCUCGGCGCGGGGGGGCAUGGUCGCGGGUCGGGGCAACCCGGUUUCGCGGCAGUCCCCCCGGCUCUCUCCGGGGCGUUGCUUCUUAAACAAAAGUAGCGCCCCCCUUUACUGUGAAAAAAUCAAGGCGUUCAAAGCAGGCAGCUCGUUGCAAUUGAGUGGUCCAGCAUGGAAUAAUGAAUCAAGCCAGUGUCUUGUUUUGUUGGUGACUCGACGAUUGGAAUGUUUAAUAGGAACAGUCGGGGAUAUCCGUACUUAGAAGUCAGAGGUGAAAUUCUUGGAUUUUCUAAAGACGAACAACUGCGAAAGCAUUAAUCAAGGAUGUUUUCAUUAAUCAAGAACGAAAGUUUGGGGAUCGAAGAUGAUUAGAUACCAUCGUAGUCUAAACCAUAAACGAUGCCGAUUCGGGAUAGUGAGGAAAUCUAGACGACUCGUGUAUCUCUUUUCGCAAGGAGGCACGAACCACGUCUCUCGCUGCACCGUAUGCGAAAGCAAAAUGUUUGGGUUCUGGGGGGAGUAUGAUCGCAAGGUUGAAACUUAAAGGAAUUGACGGAAGGGCACCAUCAGGCGUGGAGCCUGCGGCUCAAUUUGGCUCAACUCGGGGAAACUUAGCAGGGCAGGACAAAGUAAGGAUUGACAGAUUGAGAGCUCUUUCUUGAUUCUUUGGGUGGUGGUGCAUGGCCGUUCUUAGUUGGUGGAGUGAUUUGUCUGGUUAAUUCCGAUAACGAACGAGACCUCAACCUACUAACUAGUUGCGUGUAUUCUUUGGAGUACAUAACCUAAAGCAACUUCUUAGAGGGACUUUUCGCGUCUAGCGGAAGGAAGUUUGAGGCAAUAACAGGUCUGUGAUGCCCUUAGAUGUCCUGCGCCGCACGCGCGCUACAAUGACAAGGGCAGAAGGCGAUUCGGGGGCUGCGAGUACUCUCGGGUGUUCCGGUCCCCCUCCUCGGUCGAGAGACCAGGGUAAUCCUUUAACUCUUGUCGCGAUGGGGCUAGAUUCUUGGAAUUAUUAAUCUUC